AGUUUGAUGCUGGCUCAAGACGAAUUCUGGCGGCGCGCCUAAUUCAUGUCAGUCAAACCAAAGAUGACGAGCUUGCUCUUCACAUCUAGUGGACAGCGGGUGAAUAACGCAUGAGGAACCUGCCACAAACACGGGGACAACAGUUGGAAACCACUGCUAAUACCGCAUAAACCCACUGCUCGGCCUCGAUCAUAGGGAAAAGGAGCAAUCCGCUUUGAGAUGGCCUCGCGUCCGAUUAGCUAGUUGGUGAGGUAAUGGCCCACCAAGGCGACGAUCGGUAGCCGGACUGAGAGGUUGAACGGCCACAUUGGGACUGAGACACGGCCCAGACUCCUACGGGAGGCAGCAGUGGGGAAUAUUGCACAAUGGGGGAAGCCCUGAUGCAGCGACGCCGCGUGGAGGAAGAAGUUUUUCGGAUUGUAAACUCCUGUCUGUUGAGGAAGAUAAUGACGGUACUCAACAAGGAACUGACGGCUAACUACGUGCCAGCAGCCGCGGUAAAACGUAGGUCACAAGCGUUGUCCGGAAUUACUGGGUGUAAAGGGAGCGCAGGCGGGAGAACAAGUUGGAAGUGAAAUCCAUGGGCUCAACCCAUGAACUGCUUUCAAAACUGUUGGUCUUGAGUGAUGGAGAGGCAGGCGGAAUUCCUUGUGUAGCGGUGGAAUGCGUAGAUAUUCGGAGGAACACCAGUGGCGAAGGCGGCUUGCUGGGCUUUAACUGACGUUGAGGCUCGAAAGUGUGGGGAGCAAACAGGAUUAGAUACCCUGGUAGUCCACACUGUAAACGAUG
RNAcentral lists this ribosomal RNA (789 nucleotides) under uncultured bacterium. RNAcentral's name for it is "bacterial SSU rRNA". It matches the Rfam family "Bacterial small subunit ribosomal RNA", at positions 10 to 811 of the family's 1533-position model. The record is from RNAcentral.